AACUCUUAGCGGUGGAUCACUCGGCUCGUGCGUCGAUGAAGAACGCAGCUAGCUGCGAGAAUUAAUGUGAAUUGCAGGACACAUUGAUCAUCGACACUUUGAACGCACUUGCGGCCCCGGGUUCUUCCCGGGGCUACGCCUGUCUGAGCGUCG
Ribosomal RNA from Monodelphis domestica (gray short-tailed opossum), 153 nucleotides. It matches the Rfam family "5.8S ribosomal RNA". Rfam says of the family: 5.8S ribosomal RNA (5.8S rRNA) is a component of the large subunit of the eukaryotic ribosome. It is transcribed by RNA polymerase I as part of the 45S precursor that also contains 18S and 28S rRNA. Lineage: Eukaryota; Metazoa; Chordata; Mammalia; Didelphimorphia; Didelphidae. The record is from Ensembl.